RNAcentral lists this transfer RNA (56 nucleotides) under Strongyloides ratti. RNAcentral's name for it is "tRNA SRAE_M000000025". Lineage: Eukaryota; Metazoa; Nematoda; Chromadorea; Rhabditida; Strongyloididae. The record is from RNAcentral.
AGCUGUAUAGUUUAAAAUAAAAUUUUUAUCUGUGGAGUAAAAGAUGGUUAUGGCUU